RNAcentral lists this ribosomal RNA (432 nucleotides) under uncultured bacterium. Its description in RNAcentral is "bacterial SSU rRNA". It matches the Rfam family "Bacterial small subunit ribosomal RNA", at positions 335 to 762 of the family's 1533-position model. The record is from RNAcentral.
ACUCCUACGGGAGGCAGCAGUGGGGAAUAUUGCACAAUGGGCGCAAGCCUGAUGCAGCCAUGCCGCGUGUGUGAAGAAGGCCUUCGGGUUGUAAAGCACUUUCAGUCGUGAGGAAGGUGGUAGUGUUAAUAGCACUAUCAUUUGACGUUAGCGACAGAAGAAGCACCGGCUAACUCCGUGCCAGCAGCCGCGGUAAUACGGAGGGGGCUAGCGUUGUUCGGAAUUACUGGGCGUAAAGCGCACGUAGGCGGAUCGGAAAGUUGGGGUGAAAUCCCGGGCUCAACCCGAACUGCAUUCAAAUCAUNUCGGUCUGGAGUUCGAGAGAGGUGAGUGGAAUUCCGAGUGUAGAGGUGAAAUUCGUAGAUAUUCGGAGGAACACCAGUGGCGAAGGCGGCUCACUGGCUCGAUACUGACGCUGAGGUGCGAAAGCGU